RNAcentral lists this unclassified non-coding RNA (673 nucleotides) under Hevea brasiliensis (rubber tree). The record is from RNAcentral. Lineage: Eukaryota; Viridiplantae; Streptophyta; Magnoliopsida; Malpighiales; Euphorbiaceae.
AGAUAAUGGUAUUGCCUCACAGUGGAAAGGUUAAGAAGCUAAAAUACAGAAACAAAACAAAUAAGAAAAAAACAAAAAAAAAAAAAAAAAAAAAGAGAAACAGUAAUAGGCGUGAGGAGUAAAGCUAAACUAAAAUCAAAUGGGGUUCGUACGCUGUUGGGGUUUCUAUUCUUAUCGAUUUCAACCAAGGGAUCUUAAUCGUGGCAGUAAAUUUUCACACUGUGAUCUGACUUCUUAUAACUAGAUCAUUGUGCUCAGAAGACCUUCUGUGUCAAUGAGAAUUCAAAAGAUUGGCCAUCAGAGUUUCAAACACAGUAAAACAUUUUUUGUAUCCAAUGCUGGAGAGAAGGAAAUAGAAGAUAACCCUGUCUCAGGAGCAGACACGGGUGGAUUCUGAUGAUUUUGAGCUCACUGAGUUGUGCUGUGAGCUUGGCUUGGUAGAAGGUCAGCUGUGUGGCAUACCAUAUGAACUCUUUGAUCUGCCAGAUUUGAGGGAAAUAUUAUCAUUGGACNNNNNNNNNNNUUCUUGUUUGACAGAGGAAGAAAGGUUCUGGCUGUCGGCUUACCUUCCAGAUAUGGACCAGCAGACUUUUUGUUUGACUAUGAAGGAGCUUUUUGAAGGUAGUGAUCUAUAUUUUGGGAACCCAUUGGAUGUGUUUUUCAAAAGAUUGAG